GAUGAACGCUAGCUACAGGCUUAACACAUGCAAGUCGAGGGGAAACGUGCGCCAAGCUUGCUUGGCGCAGCAGCCGACCGGCGAAUGGGUGAGUAACGCGUAUCCAACCUGCCCGUAAGCAGGGGAUAGUCUUCCGAAAGGAAGGUUAAUACCCUAUGUGCUCUUCAAACGGCAUCAGAGGAGGAGCAAAGAUCCGUCGCUUACGGAUGGGGAUGCGUCUGAUUAGGCAGUUGGCGGGAUAAAGGCCCACCAAACCGACGAUCAGUAGGGGUUCUGAGAGGAAGGUCCCCCACAUUGGAACUGAGACACGGUCCAAACUCCUACGGGAGGCAGCAGUGAGGAAUAUUGGUCAAUGGGCGAGAGCCUGAACCAGCCAAGUAGCGUGCAGGAUGACGGCCCUAUGGGUUGUAAACUGCUUUUGAGGGGGAAUAAAGUGAGUGACGUGUCACUCAUUGCAUGUACCCCUGGAAUAAGGACCGGCUAAUUCCGUG
RNAcentral lists this ribosomal RNA (491 nucleotides) under uncultured bacterium. Its description in RNAcentral is "bacterial SSU rRNA". It matches the Rfam family "Bacterial small subunit ribosomal RNA", at positions 28 to 507 of the family's 1533-position model. RNAcentral also lists the same sequence under 1 other name. The record is from RNAcentral.